ACAUAUUCUUUAUUUAUUCUCGGAGAUUUAUCCAGUCAGGCUUCCCAAAAUGAAGCUGCGAAUGGAUAAGGUUCGACGGAUCCUCAACGACUAUACGCCAAAGUCCCAACGAAAUGUUGGGACCAUGAUAUAGUCUGAACUUGGCAGCGAUGUCAAG
RNAcentral lists this non-coding RNA (157 nucleotides) under Candidatus Woesebacteria bacterium GW2011_GWE1_45_18. RNAcentral also lists the same sequence under 1 other name. Lineage: Bacteria; Candidatus Woeseibacteriota. The record is from RNAcentral.